This 487-nucleotide ribosomal RNA is filed under the name uncultured bacterium. RNAcentral describes it as "partial 16S ribosomal RNA". It matches the Rfam family "Bacterial small subunit ribosomal RNA", at positions 28 to 507 of the family's 1533-position model. The record is from RNAcentral.
GACGAACGCUGGCGGCGUGCUUAACACAUGCAAGUCGAACGGAAAGGCCCCCAUCGCUGUGGGGGUGCUCGAGUGGCGAACGGGUGAGUAACACGUGGGUGAUCUGCUCUGUAUUCCGGGAUAAGCUCGGGAAACUGGUUCUAAUACCGGAUAGGACCAUGGUUUAGUGUCUCAUGGUGGUAAUAUUAUUGUUUUGGUGCAAGAUGAGCUCUCGGCCUAUCAGCUUGUUGGUGGGGUAAUGGCCUACCAAGCCGUCGACGGGUAGCCAGCCUGAGAGGUUGGACGGUGGCAUUGGGACUGGGAUACGGCCCAGACUCCUGCGGGAAGCAGCAGAGGGGAAUAUUGCACAGUGAGCGCGAGCCUGAUGCAGCGACGCCGCGUGGGAGAUGACGGCCUUCGGGUUGUAAACUCCUGUCGUUAGAGACGAAGCCACGCUUAUUGGGUGUGGUGGCGGUAACUUUGUGAAGAAGCACCGGCUAACUACGUG